This 750-nucleotide ribosomal RNA is filed under the name uncultured euryarchaeote. RNAcentral's name for it is "partial 16S ribosomal RNA". It matches the Rfam family "Archaeal small subunit ribosomal RNA", at positions 85 to 820 of the family's 1478-position model. The record is from RNAcentral. Lineage: Archaea; Methanobacteriati; Methanobacteriota.
ACGGCUCAGUAACACGUAGGCAACCUGACCUUGGGAGGCGGAUAACCACGGGAAACUGUGGGUAAUACGCCGUAAUUGACAAGCCCUGGAAAGCGCUGUCAGUGAUAAGAGCAUGAGAAAUGGAUUAUGUUCGCCCAAGGAUGGGCCUGCGGCGGAUUAGCCUGUUGGCGGUGUAAUGGACCACCAAAGCUAUGAUCCGUACGGGCAUUGACAGAUGAAGCCCGGAGAAGGACACUGAGACAAGGGUCCUAGCCCUAAGGGGUGCAGCAAGUGCGAAACCUUCACAAUGCGCGCAAGCGUGAUGAGGGGACUCCAAGUGCCAGCACACUGUGUAGGCUGUGGCGAAGUGCAAACAGCUUCGCAAGAAAGGGGUGGGCAAUACUGGUGCCAGCAGCCGCGGUAAUACCAGAGCCCCGAGUGGUGGCCACUCUUAUUGGGCCUAAAGCAUCCGUAGCCGGGUGUGCAAGUCUUCGGUGAAAUCGGCCAGCUUAACUGGUCGGCGUGCCGAGGAUACUACACAUCUAGGGACCGGGGGGAGCCAAGAGUAUUCCUGGAGUAACGGCGAAAUGUUAUAAUCCCAGGAGGACUACCGGUGGCGAAGGCGCUUGGCUAAAACGGAUCCGACGGUGAAGGAUGAAAGCUGGGGGAGCAAAGCGGAUUAGAUACCCGCGUAGUCCCAGCUGUAAACACUGCCCGCUAGGUGCCACUCAUCUUUCGUGGGUGAGUAGUGCCGGCGUGAAGACAUUAAGC